Molecule: long non-coding RNA, 1580 nt
Filed under: Salmo salar (Atlantic salmon)
Lineage: Eukaryota; Metazoa; Chordata; Actinopteri; Salmoniformes; Salmonidae
Description: lncRNA (ENSSSAG00000084050.1)
Source: RNAcentral
CAAUAACAUUUGAUUUGAUUUGUAAUGCCUGACAGUCGAUGGUGUGGUGCAAAACCACUGGUACAACGUGAUGGUGCCGGAGGGGAAGGCUGCCAUCAUAUUGGCUCUUAACCAACCAUGCUAUUUUGUUUGUUUUUUCGCGUUGUUCGUAACUUGUUUUGUACAUAAUGUUGCUGCUACCGUCUCUUAUGACCGAAAAGAGCUUCUGGACAUCAGAACUGCGAUUACUCACCUCAGAUUAGACUAGGAGUUUUUCUUCAAUGAGUCGGACGAGAGGGAUAUACCACUACAGACACCAGAUCAGGCCCAGAUCCACGUCAUUCGCUGAAGGAAACAGAGGUUUCGCGGAAAAAGAUGAGGGUGCCUUGUGAGGAUCAGGCGAUGAGUGGCUAAUCUGCCUUUGCCUUCCGUCCUGCUAGCUAACGUUCAAUCGCUGGAAAAUAAAUGGGACGAACUGAAAGCAUGUAUAUCCUACCAACGGGACAUUAAAAACGGUCAUAUUUUAUAAUUCACCAAGUCGUGGCUGCACGUCGACAUUAAGAACGUACAGCUGGCGGGUUAUACACUAUCUGCAGGACAGAACAGCCAACUGUGAUAAAAUAUCUGGGAAAAACAAGCAACAUCAUUCUGACUUAUCUCCACCAUAGAGUUCUCUCUUUCAGGACCUGAGCCCUGGACCAUGCCUCAGGACUACCUGGCCUGAUGACUCCUUGCUGUCCCCAUUCCACCUGGUCGUGCUGCUGCUCCAGUUUCAACUGUUCUGCCUGCGGCUAUGGAACCCUGACCUGUUCACUGGACGUGCUACCUGUCCCAGACCUGCUGUUUUCAACUCUCUAGAGACAGCAGGAGUGGCAGAGAUACUCUGAAUGAUCGGCUAUGAAAAGCCAACUGACAUUUACUCCUGAGGUGCUGACCUUUUGCACCCUCGACAACCACUGUGAUUAUUAUUAUUUGACCUUGCUGGUCAUAUAUGAACAUUUGAACAUCUUGGCCAUGUUCUGUUAUCUCCAUCCGGCACAGCCAGAAGAGGACUGGCCACCCCUCAUAGCCUGGUCCCUCUGGGUUUCUUCCUAGGUUCUGGCCUUUCUAGGGAGUUUUUCCUAACCACCUUACUUCUACACCUGCAUUGCUUGCGGUUUGGGGUUUUAGGCUGGGUUUCGUACAGCACUUUGUGACAUCAGCUGAUGUACGAAGGGCUUUAUAAAUACAUUUGGCAAAUAAGUCGGGCUGCACAACCGAUUGGCAAAUUGUUGUAGUGAUUCCGUAUGUUGUUGGUGUAAAGAAUAUUUGUUGGUCCGUGGCGUGUACAGACACUUGACACAUUUAUGAAAUUGCUUAUUCCAGUUACUAACAAGAAAAGUUAAAUCCCGUGGAUUGAUGAGGAAUUGAACAAUUGUACGGCUGAGCGGGACAAAGCAAAAGGAAUGGCACAUAAGUCGGGCUGCACAACCGAUUGGCAAACGUACUGCAAAUUGAGAAAUCAUGUGAAUAAAAUAAAUAAAGGAAGAAAAAACAACACUAUGAAACAGAUAAAUGACAAAGAAUGAUAGUAAAAAGCUUUGGAGCACCUUAAAUUCUGG